GAAGACAAAGCGAUGGUAGUUCUGGAGGCCUCGCUCCGGGGCCGACCCGAGGCCACAGUUCCUCCGCGGUAGACCGGACUUGGGUGACGGGCUCCGGGCUCCCGAGGGAUGGAAGGGUCUAAGACGUCCAACAACAGCACCAUGCAGGUGAGCUUCGUGUGCCAGCGCUGCAGCCAGCCCCUGAAACUGGACACGAGUUUCAAGAUCCUGGACCGUGUCACCAUCCAGGAACUCACAGCUCCAUUACUUACCACAGCCCAGGCGAAACCAGGAGAGACCCAGGAGGAAGAGACUAACUCAGGAGAGGUAAUAGAAGUGCCCUCUCCCCUAUCCUCCUCCUGUAGUAAACAUUCCAAAUGAGAGAUAUGAUAUGAAAACAGGAAUGCAGGCUUGGUUUCUGCAGGCUACUUGGCGCUUCUAGAGCUCCCAGACUUUUGGGAUCUCUGGGUAAUGAGACAUUCUACAUGAUCAGGCUGCUAUGCACCAUUGGAGGUACAGAUCUGCACCUGAGGUCACAGGGUUACUGAAUUAGUCAUUUUAAAAUGUUGGAAAGGGCU
This 557-nucleotide small RNA is filed under the name Pan troglodytes (chimpanzee). Its description in RNAcentral is "retained intron". The record is from RNAcentral. Lineage: Eukaryota; Metazoa; Chordata; Mammalia; Primates; Hominidae.